Molecule: ribosomal RNA, 442 nt
Filed under: uncultured bacterium
Lineage: Bacteria
Description: partial 16S ribosomal RNA
Rfam family: Bacterial small subunit ribosomal RNA
Source: RNAcentral
CCUACGGGAGGCAGCAGUAGGGAAUCUUUCACAAUGGGCGAAAGCCUGAUGGAGCAACGCCGCGUGCAGGAUGAAGGCCUUCGGGUUGUAAACUGCUUUUAUAAGCGAGAAAUAUGAUGGUAACUUAUGAAUAAGGAUCGGCUAACUACGUGCCAGCAGCCGCGGUCAUACGUAGGAUCCGAGCAUUAUCCGGAGUGCCUGGGUGUAAAGAGUUGCGUAGGUGGCAUAAUAAGUAGCUAGUGAAAUCUGGUGGCUCAACCAUUCAGACUAUUAGCUAAACUGUUAAGCUCGAGACCGUUAGGGGUAACUGGAAUUUCUAGUGUAGGAGUGAAAUCCGUAGAUAUUAGAAGGAACACCAAUAGCGUAGGCAGGUUGCUGGGACGGUUCUGACACUAAGGCACGAAAGCGUAGGGAGCAAACGGGAUUAGAUACCCGUGUAGUC